This 1522-nucleotide ribosomal RNA is filed under the name metagenome. RNAcentral's name for it is "bacterial SSU rRNA". It matches the Rfam family "Bacterial small subunit ribosomal RNA". The record is from RNAcentral.
AGAGUUUGAUCAUGGCUCAGAUUGAACGCUGGCGGCAGGCCUAACACAUGCAAGUCGAACGGUAACAGGAAGAAGCUUGCUUCUUUGCUGACGAGUGGCGGACGGGUGAGUAAUGUCUGGGAAACUGCCUGAUGGAGGGGGAUAACUACUGGAAACGGUAGCUAAUACCGCAUAACGUCGCAAGACCAAAGAGGGGGACCUUCGGGCCUCUUGCCAUCGGAUGUGCCCAGAUGGGAUUAGCUAGUAGGUGGGGUAACGGCUCACCUAGGCGACGAUCCCUAGCUGGUCUGAGAGGAUGACCAGCCACACUGGAACUGAGACACGGCCCAGACUCCUACGGGAGGCAGCAGUGGGGAAUAUUGCACAAUGGGCGCAAGCCUGAUGCAGCCAUGCCGCGUGUAUGAAGAAGGCCUUCGGGUUGUAAAGUACUUUCAGCGGGGAGGAAGGGAGUAAAGUUAAUACCUUUGCUCAUUGACGUUACCCGCAGAAGAAGCACCGGCUAACUCCGUGCCAGCAGCCGCGGUAAUACGGAGGGUGCAAGCGUUAAUCGGAAUUACUGGGCGUAAAGCGCACGCAGGCGGUUUGUUAAGUCAGAUGUGAAAUCCCCGGGCUCAACCUGGGAACUGCAUCUGAUACUGGCAAGCUUGAGUCUCGUAGAGGGGGGUAGAAUUCCAGGUGUAGCGGUGAAAUGCGUAGAGAUCUGGAGGAAUACCGGUGGCGAAGGCGGCCCCCUGGACGAAGACUGACGCUCAGGUGCGAAAGCGUGGGGAGCAAGCAGGAUUAGAUACCCUGGUAGUCCACGCCGUAAACGAUGUCGACUUGGAGGUUGUGCCCUUGAGGCGUGGCUUCCGGAGCUAACGCGUUAAGUCGACCGCCUGGGGAGUACGGCCGCAAGGUUAAAACUCAAAUGAAUUGACGGGGGCCCGCACAAGCGGUGGAGCAUGUGGUUUAAUUCGAUGCAACGCGAAGAACCUUACCUGGUCUUGACAUCCACGGAAGUUUUCAGAGAUGAGAAUGUGCCUUCGGGAACCGUGAGACAGGUCCUGCAUGGCUGUCGUCAGCUCGUGUUGUGAAAUGUUGGGUUAAGUCCCGCAACGAGCGCAACCCUUAUCCUUUGUUGCCAGCGGUCCGGCCGGGAACUCAAAGGAGACUGCCAGUGAUAAACUGGAGGAAGGUGGGGAUGACGUCAAGUCAUCAUGGCCCUUACGACCAGGGCUACACACGUGCUACAAUGGCGCAUACAAAGAGAAGCGACCUCGCGAGAGCAAGCGGACCUCAUAAAGUGCGUCGUAGUCCGGAUUGGAGUCUGCAACUCGACUCCAUGAAGUCGGAAUCGCUAGUAAUCGUGGAUCAGAAUGCCACGGUGAAUACGUUCCCGGGCCUUGUACACACCGCCCGUCACACCAUGGGAGUGGGUUGCAAAAGAAGUAGGUAGCUUAACCUUCGGGAGGGCGCUUACCACUUUGUGAUUCAUGACUGGGGUGAAGUCGUAACAAGGUAACCGUAGGGGAACCUGCGGUUG